GAGAAAGUUACAAGAACUGCUAAUUCUUGACCCCAUGCUUAAAAUCAUGGCUUUCUUA
This 58-nucleotide transfer RNA is filed under the name Planigale gilesi (flat-skulled marsupial mouse). RNAcentral's name for it is "tRNA-Ser". Lineage: Eukaryota; Metazoa; Chordata; Mammalia; Dasyuromorphia; Dasyuridae. The record is from RNAcentral.